This 21-nucleotide small nuclear RNA is filed under the name Arabidopsis thaliana (thale cress). Its description in RNAcentral is "snRNA_05843". The record is from RNAcentral. Lineage: Eukaryota; Viridiplantae; Streptophyta; Magnoliopsida; Brassicales; Brassicaceae.
UACAUAGAGCAACUCUAUUCU